RNAcentral lists this long non-coding RNA (668 nucleotides) under Androctonus crassicauda. The record is from RNAcentral. Lineage: Eukaryota; Metazoa; Arthropoda; Arachnida; Scorpiones; Buthidae.
AUUUAAAAAUUUAAUUUAUACAUCGAUAUAGGAACAAGAUUUAAAAUUACAGAUGCCAUGGCACGGCAAGUUGGUUAAACGUACAUAUUAGUAAAAUAAUAAAACAUAGUAUACAAACUAUUGAAGUAGAGACAGAAUGAUAAAGCAAUAAAAUAUAGUAUACAAAUUAUUGAAAUAAGACAAAAAUAAAUUAUAAUCCAAAAUAUAGUCCAACCAACUUGUAUAUCCAGGAAGUUGAAACAGAAAAAGGUGAUUAUAUCAUUAUAACAUAUAAAAAGCCUACUUACGUACCAAUUAUAAUACCAGCAUGGUCUAACGACUACAUGCCAUAUAAAUUGGCUGCCUUUAGAGCUAUGUUUAUGCACAUACAUACACACAUAACUAAGUGGCAAGACAAAUAUCAACAGCUCUCCUAUAUAUAUAACAUAGGCCAUAAAUAUGGGUAUACCUUUAAAGUAAUGGAUGGGGUUUGGAAGAAUGUGAAAAAACGAUUAGAAAGGCCACAACAAAGGAAUGUACCGACCCAACAAAACAAAAUACAUACGUUCUCAAUCAUUACGUACUAUAAAACAACCAAUAAGAUCCUUAGUAAACACCUAUGAGGAAAACAAGAAAAAUGCUUAGAAGAAGAGUGCCGACCCUGUUCGAGAGUAUACGGAAUGAUAGAU